CCUUUGUGAACAUACCUCAACUGUUGCUUCGGCGGGUAGUCGUCCCCUGAAAAGGACGUCUCCCGGCCCCCUCCCGUCCGCGGGUGGGGCGCCCGCCGGAGGAUAACCAAACUCUGAUUUAACGACGUUUCUUCUGAGUGACACAAGCAAAUAAUCAAAACUUUUAACAACGGAUCUCUUGGUUCUGGCAUCGAUGAAGAACGCAGCGAAAUGCGAUAAGUAAUGUGAAUUGCAGAAUUCAGUGAAUCAUCGAAUCUUUGAACGCACAUUGCGCCCGCCAGCAUUCUGGCGGGCAUGCCUGUUCGAGCGUCAUUUCAACCCUCAAGCUCUGCUUGGUGUUGGGGCUCUACGGUUGACGUAGGCCCUCAAAGGUAGUGGCGGACCCUCCCGGAGCCUCCUUUGCGUAGUAACAUUUCGUCUCGCAUUGGGAUUCAGAGGGACUCUUGCCGUAAAACCCCCAAUUUAUCUAAGGUUGACCUCGGAUCAGGUAGGAAUACCCGCUGAACUUAAGCAUAUCAAUAAAG
Molecule: ribosomal RNA, 524 nt
Rfam family: 5.8S ribosomal RNA (bases 159-312)